Molecule: ribosomal RNA, 102 nt
Filed under: uncultured bacterium
Lineage: Bacteria
Description: partial 16S ribosomal RNA
Source: RNAcentral
ACCUUCGGGUUGUAAAGCUCUUUCAGACGGAAAGAAACGGUUACGGCUAAUGCCCGUGACUAAUGACGGUACCGUCAGAAGAAGCACCGGCUAACUACGUGC